AUUGAACGCUGGCGGCAUGCUUUACAAAUGCAAGUCGAACGGCAGCGCGGGCUUCGGCCUGGCGGCGAGUGGCGAACGGGUGAGUAAUGCAUCGGAACGUGCCCAGUAGUGGGGGAUAGCCCGGCGAAAGCCGGAUUAAUACCGCAUACGACCUGAGGGUGAAAGCGGGGGACCGAAAGGCCUCGCGCUAUUGGAGCGGCCGAUGUCGGAUUAGCUAGUUGGUGGGGUAAAGGCUUACCAAGGCGACGAUCCGUAGCUGGUCUGAGAGGACGACCAGCCACACUGGGACUGAGACACGGCCCAGACUCCUACGGGAGGCAGCAGUGGGGAAUUUUGGACAAUGGGGGCAACCCUGAUCCAGCCAUGCCGCGUGCGGGAAGAAGGCCUUCGGGUUGUAAACCGCUUUUGUUCGGGAAGAAAUCCUCUGGGCUAAUACCCCGGGGGGAUGACGGUACCGGAAGAAUAAGCACCGGCUAACUACGUG
Molecule: ribosomal RNA, 484 nt
Filed under: uncultured bacterium
Lineage: Bacteria
Description: partial 16S ribosomal RNA
Rfam family: Bacterial small subunit ribosomal RNA
Source: RNAcentral